ACCUGCGGAAGGAUCAUUACCGAGUUUUCGGGCUUCGGCUCGACUCUCCCACCCUUUGUGAACGUACCUCUGUUGCUUUGGCGGCUCCGGCCGCCAAAGGACCUCCAAACUCCAGUCAGUAAACGCAGACGUCUGAUAAACAAGUUAAUAAACUAAAACUUUCAACAACGGAUCUCUUGGUUCUGGCAUCGAUGAAGAACGCAGCGAAAUGCGAUAAGUAAUGUGAAUUGCAGAAUUCAGUGAAUCAUCGAAUCUUUGAACGCACAUUGCGCCCCUUGGUAUUCCGGGGGGCAUGCCUGUUCGAGCGUCAUUACAACCCUCAAGCUCUGCUUGGAAUUGGGCACCGUCCUCACUGCGGACGCGCCUCAAAGACCUCGGCGGUGGCUGUUCAGCCCUCAAGCGUAGUAGAAUACACCUCGCUUUGGAGCGGUUGGCGUCGCCCGCCGGACGAACCUUCUGAACUUUUCUCAAGGUUGACCUCGGAUCAGGUAGGGAUACCCGCUGAACUUAAGCAUAUCAAA
RNAcentral lists this ribosomal RNA (521 nucleotides) under Lasiodiplodia pseudotheobromae. RNAcentral's name for it is "eukaryotic LSU rRNA". The stretch from base 157 to 310 matches the Rfam family "5.8S ribosomal RNA". The record is from RNAcentral. Lineage: Eukaryota; Fungi; Ascomycota; Dothideomycetes; Botryosphaeriales; Botryosphaeriaceae.